This is a long non-coding RNA of Rhododendron vialii, 1215 nucleotides long. RefSeq lists it as uncharacterized. The record is from RefSeq and is a predicted model, not a curated record. NCBI's taxonomy places the organism in Eukaryota, Viridiplantae, Streptophyta, Magnoliopsida, Ericales, Ericaceae. The transcript has 5 exons.
ACAUAAAUCUCUACCCUUCAUUCUACUAUGGCAUUUUUGUAAAUAUUUGAUCCAUCCAAGGGUUAUCAUAAAUGGCAUUUUGGUAAAACUAGGAUUAGAUUUCCAAAAUUUGAAACGUAGAAACGCAGACAUUCUGUGAAACCCUAACCGUAUUCCCAUACCUCACCCUCCUUCUGUCUCCCUCUCUUCGAUCGCUUUCCUAGCUCCACCGACUGGCGCGGCGAGCCACCACCGACCGGCGCGCGAUCAAGAGCAGCAUCACCUUCCUCGACACCUCCGAUUGCUACAGUCCAGACACCAAUGAAGUACUCCUCCGUAAGCCAAAAUAUUCCCAAACCGGAAAGAGCAAAUCCACCCACGCAUUAUUUUCGAGUUCAAUUGAUCUAAGAGUAAUGGGUUUUCAAAGGGAACGAAGGGUUGACAAAAGCGUCGGCGGUCAACAUCAGAACUUCAGGUUGGCAUUCCGCCGGCAAAAGGGGAAGCGACUUUUUAACACACGUCUCCCCCAUCCUCCACCCACACCACCGCUCACCUUGCCCCUGAUCAAAGACAAAGAACCUCCCCUUGCAGCAGUAGGCCCGUCCACCGAUGACCACCAACAUCAUCCCAUCACCACCAUGGAGUGAUUCGGCCCGUCUUCUUUUCUGUCCUCCAUCUCCUCUAGCGAAAUCACGACAACGAUAACAACCAGGGAUGUGGAGAUAUGGAAGGUUUCGAAUGGGGAAGGCAUGUAUGGGUAUAUUGGCUAUGAGGCUGCCCUUUUUGAUGGCACUUAAAAAAUGCUUUUUGAAAAACUGGUGAUACUACAUUCUAAUAAUUGCAUAUUGUGGUUCAACGUGAAAUUGAGUACUUGCAAUGCUCCAAGGGUAAUCAAGAAGCUGUUGACUUUGGUGGUGUGCUUAUGGAUGACAAAGGAGCAUGGAAUUCAGGAGUGCAUCCUCGGACAAGGAGAGACUCAAGUGGAAAUGGAGAUGGAUUUGCUGCAAGUAGUGAAUCUAACCAAAGAAAAUCCAGCUCCUCAUCGCCCUCAUAGGAAUCUGAUUGAGAAUUGUCAGAUUUGUAGUAAGAGCUCUAUGAAUCACACUCCACAAGAGGGGCAAAUUAAUUAAGUGACUGAUGUUCUGGAUUAUGUUGGCGAGACUCAAUGGUGGUGUUAAUAUGAAACACUCAAUUGUGAUUUCCAAAAGGGAAAUCUUCUUGCAGCUAACAUUGUAG